RNAcentral lists this ribosomal RNA (680 nucleotides) under Bacillus subtilis. RNAcentral describes it as "bacterial SSU rRNA". It matches the Rfam family "Bacterial small subunit ribosomal RNA", at positions 87 to 752 of the family's 1533-position model. Lineage: Bacteria; Bacillati; Bacillota; Bacilli; Caryophanales; Bacillaceae. The record is from RNAcentral.
UGAUGUUAGCGGCGGACGGGUGAGUAACACGUGGGUAACCUGCCUGUAAGACUGGGAUAACUCCGGGAAACCGGGGCUAAUACCGGAUGGUUGUUUGAACCGCAUGGUUCAAACAUAAAAGGUGGCUUCGGCUACCACUUACAGAUGGACCCGCGGCGCAUUAGCUAGUUGGUGAGGUAACGGCUCACCAAGGCAACGAUGCGUAACCGACCUGAGAGGGUGAUCGGCCACACUGGGACUGACACACGGCCCACACUCCUACGGGAGGCAGCAGUAGGGAAUCUUCCGCAAUGGACGAAAGUCUGACGGACCAACGCCGCGUGAGUGAUGAAGGUUUUCGGAUCGUAAAGCUCUGUUGUUAGGAAAGAACAAGUACCGUUCGAAUAGGGCGGUACCUUGACGGUACCUAACCAGAAAGCCACGGCUAACUACGUGCCACCAGCCGCGGUAAUACGUAGGUGGCAAGCGUUGUCCGGAAUUAUUGGGCGUAAAGGGCUCGCAGGCGGUUUCUUAAGUCUGAUGUGAAAGCCCCCGGCUCAACCGGGGAGGGUCAUUGGAAACUGGGGAACUUGAGUGCAAAAAAAGAGAGUGUAAUUCCACGUGUAGCGGUGAAAUGCAUAUAGAUGUGAAGGAACACCAGUGGCGAAAGCCACUCUCUGGUCUGUAACUGACACUGACGA